RNAcentral lists this ribosomal RNA (2925 nucleotides) under Staphylococcus aureus. RNAcentral's name for it is "23S ribosomal RNA". It matches the Rfam family "Bacterial large subunit ribosomal RNA". Lineage: Bacteria; Bacillati; Bacillota; Bacilli; Caryophanales; Staphylococcaceae. The record is from RNAcentral.
UAGAUUAAGUUAUUAAGGGCGCACGGUGGAUGCCUUGGCACUAGAAGCCGAUGAAGGACGUUACUAACGACGAUAUGCUUUGGGGAGCUGUAAGUAAGCUUUGAUCCAGAGAUUUCCGAAUGGGGAAACCCAGCAUGAGUUAUGUCAUGUUAUCGAUAUGUGAAUACAUAGCAUAUCAGAAGGCACACCCGGAGAACUGAAACAUCUUAGUACCCGGAGGAAGAGAAAGAAAAUUCGAUUCCCUUAGUAGCGGCGAGCGAAACGGGAAGAGCCCAAACCAACAAGCUUGCUUGUUGGGGUUGUAGGACACUCUAUACGGAGUUACAAAGGACGACAUUAGACGAAUCAUCUGGAAAGAUGAAUCAAAGAAGGUAAUAAUCCUGUAGUCGAAAAUGUUGUCUCUCUUGAGUGGAUCCUGAGUACGACGGAGCACGUGAAAUUCCGUCGGAAUCUGGGAGGACCAUCUCCUAAGGCUAAAUACUCUCUAGUGACCGAUAGUGAACCAGUACCGUGAGGGAAAGGUGAAAAGCACCCCGGAAGGGGAGUGAAAUAGAACCUGAAACCGUGUGCUUACAAGUAGUCAGAGCCCGUUAAUGGGUGAUGGCGUGCCUUUUGUAGAAUGAACCGGCGAGUUACGAUUUGAUGCAAGGUUAAGCAGUAAAUGUGGAGCCGUAGCGAAAGCGAGUCUGAAUAGGGCGUUUAGUAUUUGGUCGUAGACCCGAAACCAGGUGAUCUACCCUUGGUCAGGUUGAAGUUCAGGUAACACUGAAUGGAGGACCGAACCGACUUACGUUGAAAAGUGAGCGGAUGAACUGAGGGUAGCGGAGAAAUUCCAAUCGAACCUGGAGAUAGCUGGUUCUCUCCGAAAUAGCUUUAGGGCUAGCCUCAAGUGAUGAUUAUUGGAGGUAGAGCACUGUUUGGACGAGGGGCCCCUCUCGGGUUACCGAAUUCAGACAAACUCCGAAUGCCAAUUAAUUUAACUUGGGAGUCAGAACAUGGGUGAUAAGGUCCGUGUUCGAAAGGGAAACAGCCCAGACCACCAGCUAAGGUCCCAAAAUAUAUGUUAAGUGGAAAAGGAUGUGGCGUUGCCCAGACAACUAGGAUGUUGGCUUAGAAGCAGCCAUCAUUUAAAGAGUGCGUAAUAGCUCACUAGUCGAGUGACACUGCGCCGAAAAUGUACCGGGGCUAAACAUAUUACCGAAGCUGUGGAUUGUCCUUUGGACAAUGGUAGGAGAGCGUUCUAAGGGCGUUGAAGCAUGAUCGUAAGGACAUGUGGAGCGCUUAGAAGUGAGAAUGCCGGUGUGAGUAGCGAAAGACGGGUGAGAAUCCCGUCCACCGAUUGACUAAGGUUUCCAGAGGAAGGCUCGUCCGCUCUGGGUUAGUCGGGUCCUAAGCUGAGGCCGACAGGCGUAGGCGAUGGAUAACAGGUUGAUAUUCCUGUACCACCUAUAAUCGUUUUAAUCGAUGGGGGGACGCAGUAGGAUAGGCGAAGCGUGCGAUUGGAUUGCACGUCUAAGCAGUAAGGCUGAGUAUUAGGCAAAUCCGGUACUCAUUAAGGCUGAGCUGUGAUGGGGAGAAGACAUUGUGUCUUCGAGUCGUUGAUUUCACACUGCCGAGAAAAGCCUCUAGAUAGAAAAUAGGUGCCCGUACCGCAAACCGACACAGGUAGUCAAGAUGAGAAUUCUAAGGUGAGCGAGCGAACUCUCGUUAAGGAACUCGGCAAAAUGACCCCGUAACUUCGGGAGAAGGGGUGCUCUUUAGGGUUAACGCCCAGAAGAGCCGCAGUGAAUAGGCCCAAGCGACUGUUUAUCAAAAACACAGGUCUCUGCUAAACCGUAAGGUGAUGUAUAGGGGCUGACGCCUGCCCGGUGCUGGAAGGUUAAGAGGAGUGGUUAGCUUCUGCGAAGCUACGAAUCGAAGCCCCAGUAAACGGCGGCCGUAACUAUAACGGUCCUAAGGUAGCGAAAUUCCUUGUCGGGUAAGUUCCGACCCGCACGAAAGGCGUAACGAUUUGGGCACUGUCUCAACGAGAGACUCGGUGAAAUCAUAGUACCUGUGAAGAUGCAGGUUACCCGCGACAGGACGGAAAGACCCCGUGGAGCUUUACUGUAGCCUGAUAUUGAAAUUCGGCACAGCUUGUACAGGAUAGGUAGGAGCCUUUGAAACGUGAGCGCUAGCUUACGUGGAGGCGCUGGUGGGAUACUACCCUAGCUGUGUUGGCUUUCUAACCCGCACCACUUAUCGUGGUGGGAGACAGUGUCAGGCGGGCAGUUUGACUGGGGCGGUCGCCUCCUAAAAGGUAACGGAGGCGCUCAAAGGUUCCCUCAGAAUGGUUGGAAAUCAUUCAUAGAGUGUAAAGGCAUAAGGGAGCUUGACUGCGAGACCUACAAGUCGAGCAGGGUCGAAAGACGGACUUAGUGAUCCGGUGGUUCCGCAUGGAAGGGCCAUCGCUCAACGGAUAAAAGCUACCCCGGGGAUAACAGGCUUAUCUCCCCCAAGAGUUCACAUCGACGGGGAGGUUUGGCACCUCGAUGUCGGCUCAUCGCAUCCUGGGGCUGUAGUCGGUCCCAAGGGUUGGGCUGUUCGCCCAUUAAAGCGGUACGCGAGCUGGGUUCAGAACGUCGUGAGACAGUUCGGUCCCUAUCCGUCGUGGGCGUAGGAAAUUUGAGAGGAGCUGUCCUUAGUACGAGAGGACCGGGAUGGACAUACCUCUGGUGUACCAGUUGUCGUGCCAACGGCAUAGCUGGGUAGCUAUGUGUGGACGGGAUAAGUGCUGAAAGCAUCUAAGCAUGAAGCCCCCCUCAAGAUGAGAUUUCCCAACUUCGGUUAUAAGAUCCCUCAAAGAUGAUGAGGUUAAUAGGUUCGAGGUGGAAGCAUGGUGACAUGUGGAGCUGACGAAUACUAAUCGAUCGAAGACUUAAUCAA